GACGAAGGGGGCUAGCGUUGUUCGGAAUUACUGGGCGUAAAGCGCGCGCAGGCGGCUAUCCAAGUCAGUGGUGAAAGCCCGGAGCUCAACUCCGGAACUGCCAUUGAAACUGUUUAGCUUGAGGACGAGAGAGGUGAGUGGAAUUCCCAGUGUAGAGGUGAAAUUCGUAGAUAUUGGGAAGAACACCGGUGGCGAAGGCGGCUCACUGGCUCGUAUCUGACGCUCAGGCGCGACAGCGUGGGGAUCAAACAGG
Molecule: ribosomal RNA, 253 nt
Filed under: uncultured bacterium
Lineage: Bacteria
Description: partial 16S ribosomal RNA
Rfam family: Bacterial small subunit ribosomal RNA
Source: RNAcentral